AGUCGAGCGGUAAGGCCCUUUCGGGGGUACACGAGCGGCGAACGGGUGAGUAACACGUGGGUGAUCUGCCCUGCACUUCGGGAUAAGCCUGGGAAACUGGGUCUAAUACCGGAUAUGACCAAAGGCUGCAUGGUUUUUGGUGGAAAGGUUUACUGGUGCAGGAUGGGCCCGCGGCCUAUCAGCUUGUUGGUGGGGUAAUGGCCUACCAAGGCGACGACGGGUAGCCGACCUGAGAGGGUGACCGGCCACACUGGGACUGAGACACGGCCCAGACUCCUACGGGAGGCAGCAGUGGGGAAUAUUGCACAAUGGGCGAAAGCCUGAUGCAGCGACGCCGCGUGAGGGAUGACGGCCUUCGGGUUGUAAACCUCUUUCAGCAGGGACGAAGCGAAAGUGACGGUACCUGCAGAAGAAGCACCGGCCAACUACGUGCCAGCAGCCGCGGUAAUACGUAGGGUGCGAGCGUUGUCCGGAAUUACUGGGCGUAAAGAGCUCGUAGGCGGUUUGUCGCGUCGUCUGUGAAAACCAGCAGCUCAACUGCUGGCUUGCAGGCGAUACGGGCAGACUUGAGUACUGCAGGGGAGACUGGAAUUCCUGGUGUAGCGGUGAAAUGCGCAGAUAUCAGGAGGAACACCGGUGGCGAAGGCGGGUCUCUGGGCAGUAACUGACGCUGAGGAGCGAAAGC
Molecule: ribosomal RNA, 685 nt
Filed under: Rhodococcus sp. (in: high G+C Gram-positive bacteria)
Lineage: Bacteria; Bacillati; Actinomycetota; Actinomycetes; Mycobacteriales; Nocardiaceae
Description: bacterial SSU rRNA
Rfam family: Bacterial small subunit ribosomal RNA
Source: RNAcentral